GUGACAUAUACUUUUCUUGCUUUUUUGGAGUAGUACCUUUUUUAAAUUGUUAGUGAAACAAUAUAGGUACAAAAUUUAGAUACGUCUUAUUCAUCGAUUUUUUUAUUCUUACUUACUUGUUUUGGCGGGAAUAAAGUAAUUCAUAUUUAAUGAUCAAAACACCUAGGACCAUCAUCUGAAGAAUCUUCAAUAGAAAUAAACACGUCUUCUAUCUAACUUAAGCAAGACAGAUUAUGGUUGUUAAUCCGACUUCCCUGGACUAUUCAAAAAUUUUUAUAACAAGCAAAUAAUUUACAUAUCAGGGUUAAACACGACUUUAAGAUUUCGAUAGUAACAACAUAAAAUGUUUUUGUGGUGUUUUGUUGCUUAAAUCAUGACACACAAUAUUAUGAAAGAACAACUGAUAGAAAUGAAAAGGCUAAUUAGUCUUUUAAAGAUGUAUUUCGCAAAACUUUUAGGAAUUUUGGUCCUCAAUGUUCUUCCACUUCGGACUUUAUUUGGCCUUUCAAAUCUUUUGCAUUCGAGCGUCACGAGUUUUUAGUAGACGAAACGCGCGUCUGGCGUAAAUACAAAAUUUGAUCCUGGUAUCUUUGAUUAGUUUAUUUUCAUAUUUCCUAAGUUAAGGUGACUUCCGAUACUAAGGGAGAUAACAACAUUUUACUGAUGUAAACUGGUUCCCGUUUAAAAAUUUAGGAUAUAUCGCCUGUAUACUGGUCACGUAACAGUUCGAUGUCGUCUGUUGACAACGUGUGUAAACAACUUCCAAGUUACAGAUCAUUGCUCAGAAGAAAGGAAGGUUUAUCAUAAAGGAUAAAUGCAUGCGUUCUUUAAAAAUAAAGAAUAUGAAUAGCUUCAGCCUGAAAAGUUACACAGUCUUAAAUGAUUCUCAACUUAUAAUAUCAUAUGAUAUAAGUUUUUGGAAGUUGGAGAAAUUCGGCGUCCGAUCACAGACAGUGAUGUUUUGUUUGACGAAACCUGGAAAGAAGGUCGGUGGGUAGCUCUGGUUGAUCACCUAGCGCAGAAUAUGUUCGUUAAGAUGUAAAACUGUCCCCUGCGGAUACUGUCUGUGAACGGAAAUACGACCUCAAGGCUUUACAGAGGGAGGCGUGAGCAUUUUUUGUCCAUACCAUAUCGUUGUAGCUGCAGUGCAUGUAACCUGCAUAUCAUGUGUGACAGUGUAGAAACGAGGGGGAAAAUGGGACUGGUGAAUUUUUUAUCAAUUCAAAAGCUGCACAUGAUAAGAGAGUUCAAUUUUCUCUUUAUUAUAUAUUCUCUUUACACAUUUAACUGGUUGGAGAAGGUGUAUGGUUUCAUGUCUUGAAUAAAUGAACCUGCCCACACUCUCUUUUUCUUUCUUUAAUUCCCUCUAUUAUGGUCUGGGGUUUAUGUGGUUUGAGGGUAAAAAGCUUUAUUUUGAGGGGAAGUGCUGCCCAAAUUUUUUAUGAAGCUGGACUUAGUAUUUUUUCUGGAAUUUUGCCCCCUGGAAGUUAUUUAUCAUUUUUUUGCAAUGAACACCAAGAACAUCUAUACAUAAGGGGCUUUUUAGUUUUGCAUCCAAAAGGAGAGGAUUAUUUUGUAAAUACUUAUUUGGUAGCAAUUAUAUAACCAUACAUAAAAUUAGAAUUGAAAAAGUAAACAAUUGCAGUCACAAUGAUUCAUUCACAAAAAUAAUGUUUUACAAACUCAAAAUAUUAGUUUUCUUUAUUUUUAAAUCAGAAUUUUCAUAUUAAGUCAUCUUUUGCAUGUGAUCAGAGACCAAGUGGUCUGAUACCUUACAUAUUUAGUCAUUUAAAAACCUAGAAUGAUGUGUAGAAUACAGAUAAUGCAUGAAGGCAAAAAGAAAAUUAAGAAGGGGGGCACCCUUCUCAUUCCACAUUAUUAGAAAAUAAAUGUGAAUCUGUGAUCUAUAAGAAUAAAGGUAAACCUGAAUUCACAAUCAUAUUAUAUAAAUAUAAAUUGAAAAAAUCAAUUGUAUAUAUAUUCCAAAUAAAAUUAUGAACUCAAGUCUAAAUAGUUUAUAGUUUAUCUAAUUAACCAAUACAAACUGACAUUUCAUAUUAUAUUUUUCAGGAAUGAUACAUGCAGAAAUUUGUGCACACAUUUCAACAAAUUUCCUUAAUGGAUUGAAUGUACUUUCUGUGAAUUCAUCAGCCAUACUUAAAGAAAAGGAAAAUUAAACUGGAAAGAAAAUAUUUGCAGUUGCAAAAGAAUCUGUAAAUAAAGUCAAAAGAAGAAACAGUUUUAAACAUGGUUAAUUUAAUGAAUAAUUAGAAGGUAAUUAAACCUUUAGUCAUAUCAUUUCAAAGUAUUUUUUGAUAAUUUUCCUAAGUAGAUAUAUAAAGUAUAACGAGGACCAUAAUUAUAUUCAUAUUUGCACUUAAGCAGUCAUAAAAAUGAAUUAACAGUCUUGGUAAAAUUCAAGUUUAGGGUCAAUAUUUCAAUCAAUUUUGUGGUAAGCAUUGUUAUAAUAUACUUCAAGACUUUCAUGUAUAGAACAUGACAGAAUUUGUUUCAACAAAAAUAUUGAACUAGAAUUAGUUACAUUUGUAUUUAUUAAAUGAAAUCUAUAUUAAUGUAUAAUUUCAACAAAUUUAAUGAAACCUAUUUGGUUUUGAAAGCCUUUAUACAUAUUAAUUAUUACAAAUUUCAUUGUUAACAGCCUGAGUUUCCAGUUAAUUUUAAAUGUAAUAUGUUUUAGCUAUAGUAUUUGAACACUGAUGCACUUUCAUUUAUAUAUAUUUGUUAUCACUUUUUUUCAUUAGGUUGAAGCUAGUUUUGUUGCAGAAUUGCAAAUGUUUGGUACUGGUUGAAACUAUGAAAGUAUACAGGUAAAUUUAAAGAAUUUAGACUUUAACUUUAUUAAUAGAAAAGAUAUUCCCAAAUGUCAAGGUGAAAGUGGACAUUGUAGAUUCUAAACACCCAUGUGAAAGCAACAGUCUUCUAUGGUGAGAGGAUGCCAUACUUAGCAUUAAUGCUCUUGUUAUUAUAUGGAAUAUGGCUUUUUAUCAUUAUUUUUCACUAUUUUGAUAUUCAACAACCAACAUUGAUAACAAGUAAUAUAAAACUCUCACUUUUUAUGAAUCCUAUAUUCAUAUUAAUUUACUUAUUAAUUUUUGUUUAUAUUUGUUAUCAUUGUAGGUCUCAUGGUUAUCAUUUAAACAGCAGGUUAUUAGCAGCAGUUUUGUAGAAAAAUGAAGGAUGACUGUCAAUGGUAAAUACAUACAUUUUAGGAUAAUUACAUGUAGUUACCUUUGAAAAAAAACUUAGGUUUCAUUUGAGACUUUUUAAUCUGAUAAUGGUGUUUUGCAGGCAUUUAUAACUUUUUUGGACAAAUAUAUUUAGUAGACUCAACUAUAAAAUGUAGGAUCAUGUAAACUUGUACAAGAUGUCACUGACCUACAUUUUCCACUUCACUGACUUUGGUUACAUUAAACAUCCAAUUUCAUAUACAACAAAUGUAUAUCUCAGCAACUAAAAGGUGUCAGAUCAUGCAAACUUAUAUAUACACUCUCAGAGUCUCAGUAACUCAGCUUCCAGGCAAAAGAAGGUCACAGUGAUCCACAUUUUACACUAUUGAUUUGUACUUUAUUUUAUAAUUUAAAUACAAAGUAUAUUAUCAAGACUGCCACUGGUUCUUAUGUGCCACAAUUCUGACAAUGAAGAUAACUAUGUGAUGUAGAUAACUUAUGUUUAUUUCAAACUUGGUCACAUGCUGUAUAUGUAAAUUUUUACCAAAAAGAACAGUUCAACUGUAUUGAUUUAAGGUAUAUGGUAAAGGUCACACCUAUUAAAUAUACAUGUAUACCUUGAAUUUGCAUUGGACCCUAUAAUGCUCCCUAUAUCAUUUAUAUUGUCAAUUAUUGCAUUCCAAAUUGCCAUUGUACACAAAACAAAAACCACUAAAAGGAUGGCCAUCAUAUGCAAAAGCAAUAUAAAAUGCAUACCCAUCAGCUUGACCUAAUUAUUGCAAUCACUUCAAAAACCUGGCCAUAUAUCAUAUUAUAAAACUCUUAAUGAGUACCUUUGUUAGUCAGGUAUAAUAUAAUCUUUUUAAAUUGAAUGUUGUAAUGCAUGAUUGGAUUAAUUUUGCACUCACUGAAAUAUUAUAUAGAUUUAGUAGUUUAUUAGUAUAUAUUACACCUUUUCAUUACAAAUAAAUAAAUUAAACUUUCAGGUAAAUGCAGCAAUAGAAUGUUCCCCUGGAAAAUUUACGCAGAAAAUUUGGGAAAGUAUGAAUAAGAAAUUAGAGAGGCAAACAGAUAACCAGAAAACAAAGAUUUUAAAAGAAAAGAAUUGCCACUAAUAGUAAUAUGAUAUAUCUGACUGGGGAGCAAAAUCAUGUACUAUUCAAUAUGGAAGGAUUGACAAUUUUGACUGAGAACAAAGUGAACUCUAAUAAUGCUAUGACUAUCAAUAAGUACUUGACUGAAUCAGAGGAGUAAACUAUUUACAUAUUUUGUAAAUAUAACAGUUAUAUGUUUGCUUGAUUAUUGAGGCAUUCAAAAUAAAGAAAGUUGAAAAACCUUUGAAAAAGUUAUAAUUUCAUCAUUUUUUGGUUAUGUUACUAUGACAACUGAAAUAUAUAAUGUAUUAUCAUUAUGCUUCAUCAAACUUAAAUCAUUAACUGAGGAAAAGGUGACAAAGUCUUUUUUAAUCCAUUUACUUGCAUGACUGUUACCUAUGAAUCGAUAAUUUAAAAAAAAAUAUAUUUGGUGAUUUUCGCUAACUUCUGAGUAAUUUAUUUUGCUCAUUUAAGACCACAGUAAUGCUAAAUAUAAGCUGCAUUACAAUGUAUCAUAAUAUUUGUUUACAUUUACAUAGAAGCCAUGUGUUGUUGCUCUGAAAUCAUGGUAUUUGAUCUGCCAUUGUCUGUUAGGUUGUUAAUCUUGCACAUCAGAACAAUGCAAAAACUUGAAUUUUCCAACUUCAUGUCCUGUUGCCAUGGUAACCGUUGUUCAUAGAAAAAAAAAUUGUUCUCAUUUGAUUGCCUUGUGAAACUGUAUUAUUCUGUGUUAGUUUAACAAAGGAUAUGACAACAUAUGUCACACUUUGAUCACCGAUGAUGAAAGAUAUACAAAAAACUGCUGUUGAUCACUGUUUCGUUAGGGGUCACAAAAACGUUUUUCGGGCAAAAAAUAGUCUGGUGACCCAUAUUUUUUUUUUAUUUCUUUUUAAAGCUCAUUGUUAUGACCAUCUUAUGUCAAAUUUAAAAAAAUAUUCAUUGGACCAUUUUUUUUGGAAAUUUAAGAAAAAUAGAAAUUUUUAACAAAAUCUGUGUUUUUUUUGUGGAGCAGUGUUGAUGAAAUUAGAGCCGAAAUCAAUGAAAAUGAAUAAAACUGCCAUUAUUUGUGUUUUAUUUACAUUUUAAAUAAUAAUUUUGUAAUAAAUGAAGAACAAACCUUUCAAAAUACUUUCAAAGGCUUAAAAAAAAUCCAGAGUUUCUACAUCAGGUAUGUAUUUAUGCAUACACGUGAUGUACCAACUUUGGUGACCGUUACCAUGGAAACGAGUCUGGUGACAUACUAUUUUUAACUCAAAUUUUCAUAGAGGCCAUUGCAUAGUAUAUGUAUGCAAAUUUUAAGAAAAAUUCAAUGGUGAAAAAAAAUUUGCUAUAUCUGUAGGGAUCCACCUUAAGUUAUAGUCUACGAUGAUUCACCAUUACAUUAAAUAACUAACAACAUGCUUUGGAUAUCCUCUAUAACAGAAUAAUUAAACAUUAUUCGACUGGAAAUCAUUUUCAAACCACUCACUUCUACACCUUGGUAAAUUUAUUUCAAUAUUCUGGCAGUAAUAACUUUAAUGGACGUUCAUAUCACCGUUUCAUUCGUUCCUUUUGAUUUUGUGUUGUCUCCAUUUUUUUUAAAUUUAAUGUGAUAAACUCUUUCUUGCAUUGAUUUGUAUAUCACUGUUUGUACAAAUUUUAUUUUAGAAUUGUCGCAUAAAAGCAAAUAAACAGGUGAUUUUGAAUCAUUUAACAUUUUCAUCAACGUCUCCAAAAGUGACUUUUGUGCGGCAAUAUAAUGACGUUAUCCAAAUACUGAUAAAUACACCUUUGCUCUUCUUUUGCCUGUUUGUUUGUUUGUUUGUUUGUUUUAUUAUAUGUUUAUUUGCUGUGCCUAAACUCUAUCUUUCAUAAAUA
This 6139-nucleotide long non-coding RNA is filed under the name Mytilus galloprovincialis (Mediterranean mussel). Lineage: Eukaryota; Metazoa; Mollusca; Bivalvia; Mytilida; Mytilidae. The record is from RNAcentral.